This 558-nucleotide ribosomal RNA is filed under the name Leptolyngbya sp. BS-24. RNAcentral describes it as "bacterial SSU rRNA". It matches the Rfam family "Bacterial small subunit ribosomal RNA", at positions 156 to 746 of the family's 1533-position model. The record is from RNAcentral. Lineage: Bacteria; Bacillati; Cyanobacteriota; Cyanophyceae; Leptolyngbyales; Leptolyngbyaceae.
ACGGCUGCUAAUACCCGAUGUGCCGAGAGGUGAAAUCUAAUUGGCCUGACGAUGAGCUCGCGUCUGAUUAGCUAGUUGGUAGGGUAAGAGCCUACCAAGGCGACGAUCAGUAGCUGGUCUGAGAGGAUGAUCAGCCACACUGGGACUGAGACACGGCCCAGACUCCUACGGGAGGCAGCAGUGGGGAAUUUUCCGCAAUGGGCGCAAGCCUGACGGAGCAAGACCGCGUGCGGGAUGAAGGUCUGUGGACUGUAAACCGCUUUUGAUAGGGAAGAACACAAUGACGGUACCUAUCGAAUCAGCCUCGGCUAACUCCGUGCCAGCAGCCGCGGUAAUACGGAGGAGGCAAGCGUUAUCCGGAAUUAUUGGGCGUAAAGCGUCCGUAGGUGGUGAUGCAAGUCUAUUGUCAAAGCAUGAGGCUUAACCUCAUACCGGCAGUGGAAACUGCAUUGCUAGAGUGCGAUAGGGGCAAGGGGAAUUCCCAGUGUAGCGGUGAAAUGCGUAGAUAUUGGGAAGAACAUCGGUGGCGAAAGCGCCUUGCUGGGUCUGCACUGACAC